GAUGAAGAACGUAGCAAAAUGCGAUAAGUAAUGUGAAUUGCAGAAUUCAGUGAAUCAUCGAAUCUUUGAACGCACAUUGCGCCCGCCAGUAUUCUGGCGGGCAUGCCUGUUCGAGCGUCAUUUCAACCCUCAAGCACAGCUUGGUGUUGGGACUCGCGUUAAUUCGCGUUCCUCAAAUUGAUUGGCGGUCACGUCGAGCUUCCAUAGCGUAGUAGUAAAACCCUCGUUACUGGUAAUCGUCGCGGCCACGCCGUUAAACCCCAACUUCUAAAUGUUGACCUCGGAUCAGGUAGGAAUACCCGCUGAACUUAAGCAUAUCAAUAAGCGGAGGA
Molecule: unclassified non-coding RNA, 332 nt
Filed under: soil metagenome
Description: partial contains 5.8S ribosomal RNA, internal transcribed spacer 2, and large subunit ribosomal RNA
Rfam family: 5.8S ribosomal RNA (bases 1-120)
Source: RNAcentral